Long non-coding RNA from Capsicum annuum, 240 nucleotides. RefSeq lists it as uncharacterized. The transcript is spliced from 3 exons. The record is from RefSeq and is a predicted model, not a curated record. NCBI's taxonomy places the organism in Eukaryota, Viridiplantae, Streptophyta, Magnoliopsida, Solanales, Solanaceae.
GCACUUCCCUUUCCUACGCCUCCUUCACCAUGUUCUUCAUCACCAACCUUCAAUUAGUUCUUCUGCAUCUGUGAAAUCUUCAGUACGUUUCCAUGAUUUUUGGUGCUGACAUGCUGGGUCUCGUCUUCUAAGCCUUGAUUCCUCCUUCUUCUGUAGCUGGGAUGGAGAUAAUGGGAUGCUCGGACCCGUUGAUAGCUGAAGAGGAUCAAGGAGCUCAGUUAGUUAAAUAUGAUCUGACUU